AGGGGAAAUAGAGGGGUUACUGCUAAUAACCUCGUGUCAGUUAGAUUUGACUUCUCCUU
Molecule: transfer RNA, 59 nt
Filed under: Rhinebothrium sp. 1
Lineage: Eukaryota; Metazoa; Platyhelminthes; Cestoda; Rhinebothriidea; Rhinebothriidae
Description: tRNA-Ser
Source: RNAcentral